CAAUAGCGUAUAUUAAAGUUGUUGCGGUUAAAAAGCUCGUAGUUGGAUUUCUGCUGAGAACGACCGGUCCGCCCUCUGGGUGUGUAUCUGGCUCUUUCUUGGCAUCUUCUUGGUGAACGUUGCUGCACUUGACUGUGUGGAGCGCUACCCAGGACUUUUACUUUGAGGAAAUUAGAGUGUUUCAAGCAGGCAUACGCCUUGAAUACAUUAGCAUGGAAUAAUAAGAUAGGACCUCGGUUCUAUUUUGUUGGUUUCUAGAGCUGAGGUAAUGAUUAAUAGGGAUAGUUGGGGGUAUUCGUAUUUAACUGUCAGAGGUGAAAUUCUUGGAUUUGCUAAAGACGGACUACUGCGAAAGCAUUUGCCAAGGAUGUUUUCAUUGA
Molecule: ribosomal RNA, 380 nt
Filed under: uncultured eukaryote
Lineage: Eukaryota
Description: partial 18S ribosomal RNA
Rfam family: Eukaryotic small subunit ribosomal RNA
Source: RNAcentral